AUCCAGACCGGGGAUGGAAUUCACAACCUAGAUAUGUGUCCUGACUGGGAAUUGAAUCCCCAGAUCCUGGAAAAACUAUCUCCAGCAUCAUCUCCUCCUAUGGUCUUCCCCUAGUAGGAGCAUCCAUGGAGGACAAAAGAGGUCCAGCAGACUCGAAGCCCACAAAUGAGGAAUAUGCAGUAUAUGUGGCCCGUUAACCAGGAUACAGGCAUCUUAGCACACUUCAGCUGGGACACAUGACCAUAACCAUGGACCAGAGUCACCCCUAAUGCCAGGAUCCAGCAUAGGACCCCAGAACUUACAUUCUGGAAAGCCUUAAAGAGCUGUUACCAAGGGAAGGCCUACUG
Artibeus jamaicensis (Jamaican fruit-eating bat) is the source of this 347-nucleotide long non-coding RNA. RefSeq lists it as uncharacterized. The record is from RefSeq and is a predicted model, not a curated record. Lineage: Eukaryota; Metazoa; Chordata; Mammalia; Chiroptera; Phyllostomidae. The transcript has 3 exons.